GUGGGGAAUAUUGCGCAAUGGGGGAAACCCUGACGCAGCGACGCCGCGUGAGCGAAGAAGGCCUUAGGGUUGUAAAGCUCUGUUUUAAGGGACGAAUGUCGUGGGGAGUAAUAUGCUCUGCGAAUGACGGUACCUUAAGAGGAAGCCCCGGCUAACUACGUGCCAGCAGCCGCGGUAAGACGUAGGGGGCGAGCGUUGUCCGGAAUUACUGGGCGUAAAGAGCACGGAGGCGGGAACUUAAGUCAGGUGUGAAAGACCGGGGCUCAACUCCGGGGUUGCACUUGAAACUGGGUUUCUUGAGGGCAGGAGAGGAAAGCAGAAUUCCUGGUGUAGCGGUGAAAUGCGUAGAAAUCAGGAGGAAUACCAGUGGCGAAGGCGGCUUUCUGGACUGACCCUGACGCUGAGGUGCGAAAGCGUGGGUAGCAAACAGGAUUAGAUACCCGUGUAGUCC
RNAcentral lists this ribosomal RNA (451 nucleotides) under uncultured bacterium. RNAcentral's name for it is "partial 16S ribosomal RNA". It matches the Rfam family "Bacterial small subunit ribosomal RNA", at positions 354 to 796 of the family's 1533-position model. The record is from RNAcentral.